CCUACGGGUGGCAGCAGUCGAGAAUCAUUCACAAUGGGGGAAACCCUGAUGGUGUGACGCCGCGUGGGGGAAUGAAGGUCUUCGGAUUGUAAACCCCUGUCAUGUGGGAGCAAAUUAAAAAGAUAGUACCACAAGAGGAAGAGACGGCUAACUCUGUGCCAGCAGCCGCGGUAAUACAGAGGUCUCAAGCGUUGUUCGGAAUCACUGGGCGUAAAGCGUGCGUAGGCUGUUUCGUAAGUCGUGUGUGAAAGGCGCGGGCUCAACCCGCGGACGGCACAUGAUACUGCGAGACUAGAGUGAUGGAGGGGGAACCGGAAUUCUCGGUGUAGCAGUGAAAUGCGUAGAUAUCGAGAGGAACACUCGUGGCGAAGGCGGGUUCCUGGACAUUAACUGACGCUGAGGCACGAAGGCCAGGGGAGCGAAAGGGAUUAGAUACCCCAGUAGUC
RNAcentral lists this ribosomal RNA (446 nucleotides) under uncultured bacterium. RNAcentral's name for it is "partial 16S ribosomal RNA". It matches the Rfam family "Bacterial small subunit ribosomal RNA", at positions 338 to 795 of the family's 1533-position model. The record is from RNAcentral.